UGGGGAAUUUUGGACAAUGGGCGCAAGCCUGAUCCAGCAAUGCCGUGUGCAGGAAGAAGGCCUUCGGGUUGUAAACUGCUUUUGUACGGAACGAAACGGUCCGGGUUAAUACCCUGGGCUAAUGACGGUACCGUAAGAAUAAGCACCGGCUAACUACGUGCCAGCAGCCGCGGUAAUACGUAGGGUGCAAGCGUUAAUCGGAAUUACUGGGCGUAAAGCGUGCGCAGGCGGUUUUGUAAGACAGGCGUGAAAUCCCCGGGCUCAACCUGGGAAUUGCGCUUGUGACUGCAAGGCUGGAGUGCGGCAGAGGGGGAUGGAAUUCCGCGUGUAGCAGUGAAAUGCGUAGAUAUGCGGAGGAACACCGAUGGCGAAGGCAAUCCCCUGGGCCUGCACUGACGCUCAUGCACGAAAGCGUGGGGAGCAAACAGGAUUAGAUACCCUGGUAGUCCACGCCCUAAACGAUGUCAACUGGUUGUUGGGAAUUUACUUUCUCAGUAACGAAGCUAACGCGUGAAGUUGACCGCCUGGGGAGUACGGCCGCAAGGUUG
This 548-nucleotide ribosomal RNA is filed under the name uncultured bacterium. RNAcentral describes it as "bacterial SSU rRNA". It matches the Rfam family "Bacterial small subunit ribosomal RNA", at positions 355 to 896 of the family's 1533-position model. The record is from RNAcentral.